CUCUGGACCCCUUUUGGUCUUUGAGGAGGCUUUUUAUAAGUUCUGCCAGGCACAGGGCUUCGAAUAUCUCACGGGCCGAGUGUGGAUCGGGUUCUGGCUCAUCUUCAUUGUCCUAGUGAUCGUGGCAGCUGAGGGAAGCUUCCUUGUGCGCUACAUCUCUCCAUUCACCCAGGAGAUCUUUGCAUUUCUCAUCUCUCUCAUUUUCAUCUAUGAAACCUUCUCUAAGCUAAUUAAGGUGUUUCAAGAGCACCCUCUGAUGAAGAGCUACCCU
Sinocyclocheilus grahami is the source of this 271-nucleotide long non-coding RNA. RefSeq lists it as uncharacterized. NCBI's taxonomy places the organism in Eukaryota, Metazoa, Chordata, Actinopteri, Cypriniformes, Cyprinidae. The transcript is spliced from 3 exons. The record is from RefSeq and is a predicted model, not a curated record.